RNAcentral lists this long non-coding RNA (4644 nucleotides) under Apis mellifera (honey bee). RNAcentral's name for it is "uncharacterized LOC102654236". Lineage: Eukaryota; Metazoa; Arthropoda; Insecta; Hymenoptera; Apidae. The record is from RNAcentral.
AUAAAGUUUCAAUUUGUGCAAGUACACAGAGGCAAUUAAAUCGACGAGCGGUCAAUGCUCGACUGACCUCAACAACAGUAAAAGUGACAAACGGCUUGACUUCUCGUCCAAGUCGGCCGCGGAACUUGAUUUCUCGAUUCUUGCCCCGCACCUUAUCAAAAUGAUCUGUUCGAAGUUCAUUAGCCUUCUGUCUAUCGCUCGUUUCAAAAUCGAUCAACACUUUUCGAUUUUCCCCGUCGAUGAAAUAUGAGGAAACGGGUCUCUUGUUGGCUCUUUCUCGGUCGGAGGCAAGGAGGCUUUUCGAGGAGGGAAGGGUCUCGGGUGGUCAGCUCCACCGCCGGAGCUGUAUAAUACAAUCCGGCGGAUUUGUUACAACCGGUGCUCGAAAAAGUCUUAGGUCGCGGUACAUAAUUGGUAAGUGGCCAUACAUAUAGGAAACGAGACUACGAGAAGGAUUGUAAAUGUGAUCGCGGGGUGAUUGACUCCAAACGAGAUCGAAAUAUCAACACAAGCCUCUUAAACAGGAAACCUCGCGUCGGUAUAUCUGUCGAAGAAAAUCAUUCGGAUCAGGGGCGUAUCAAUUGAUCAAUUGCAGAAAAAGAAAAAGAAAAAAAAAAGAAGGAAAGAAAGAAGAGAGAUGAUUUUUUUCACCAUCGUUUCAAAUUAUAUCCCCCUCCCCUCCUUUCGAUCUUCAUCUGAAUUUAUGUGCAUCGCGUCGCUCGAAACAUCGAACACCACCCGCAUAUAAGCGAAAGAGAGUAAAGUAGUACUCAUUUAAAUGCUUACUUUCUAUCGUGCCCACCCAAAGGAUUCCCUAAUCACGCGACAAAUAUAUAUAUAUAUAUAUGUAUAUGUAUAUAGAUAUCUGUAAAUAUAUUGACAAGAGUGAACCCGAUUCCCGGCAAUUAUGCAAAAUAUCACGCCAUUUUCCCAUUUAAAAUGUAAAUCUCGAUUCUGCUUCCAAUAUUAAUUUCAAUUCGAUUGGUAUACGAACGAUUAUUGAUUGAGCAACGCCGAGAAGAAGGAAUAAAAAAAACGGUGACAUCGUUAGCAAAUCGCGUGUGCGAAUUUUUUAAACAAAUUUCAAGCUUUAAAUUCUCUCCGAGAGAAAAAAAUCAGAAGGCAUCCUUAUUCGAAGAAGAUGAACGGACAACGUCCAGAAAGUUCGAUAAUCGUUUCACUAAAAAGCGGGUUUCGGUAGGAAGAAGUGUUUCAACAUUGUCAACCAUUGACUGAGAACAGGACGCCUCCAUCGGUAUAUAUCACGAUGUAUAUCAAGGAAACUAUUUCAUAUUUUAUAGAUAAUAUACAUAUAUAUAUAUAUUUCAUGAAUAUUUACAUUUUCACAACACAUCAAUCUCGUUACUUUUUUUUCUUAAACACGUCUGUAAUGUAUAUAUAUAUAUAUAUAUAUAUUCGUGUGUGUUACACGGUCGGUAUAUAUGCAUUCAUGAACGUGCAUUUACGUGAUUAUCGAUCGCAAUAUUUUUCCCACACACGCGUACGCAACAUCCGUACGCAAGAUCCUUUUUUUUUUCUCUCUCCCUUAAAAAACGUGUAUGCGGUAUGUGGUACAAUAGUCGAUCGAUCUCGAACCUCUGUUGAUCCGUUCCUGUGACCAGUCGUUUACAACGAUCGAUCGGUAUGCGACGUGCUGCGCACUCGCUCUUACCUUUCGGAUCGCAUGAUCCAAACCUUCGAAAGGACGUUGACCGGUGUUGUAUCAAGAGUGUAGCAAGUGUAUCAAACACUUACGCAGCUAGGCGUAAGAGCACAUGUUGCGUGCACCGUAUGUGUAUAUAUACAUAUACACACACGUAUAUACACAUACUUGAUGCAAACCGUGUUUCAACUCGUAUAUAUCGAAAGGAAUUGUCUGACAAAAGAGAGAAAGAGAGAGAUGGAUAGAUAUAUAGACAGAAAGAGAGAGAGAGAUAUGAUAUAUCUUUCGCGUAUUUUUGCGCGAAAACAAAAUCGAAACAAAAACAUAAGGGAUAGAAAAAAUAAAAAAAUGUAAAAAGAAACGUAAUCCGAAGCGAAUAGGAAGAAAUAUAUAUAUAUGUAUAGUGUUCCGUCCCUGCACAACACCCGCGCUAAAAGACGCAAUCGAUGCAUCCUCGCCGUCUUUCUGCUCUCCUAAGUCAGCUAAAUACGAGAUUAUACCUCAUGUCGUGUCGUUAGAUCCUUAUAACGGCUUCGAAUUAAUAAGCUGAAAAUUAACGCCAUAACGUUACACUGCUAUCGUUGCACGCUUUGCGUAAAAUAGCAUUCCCUUCGGCGGACACGGCAGGAAUUCCAAAAGCGAAAUAAACUCGCUUCGGGCGUUUUUCCAUUUUUUAUUUUAAUGUCGUCUCUCCUGCACAUUCCAUCUUUUCUUUUCUUUUCUUAGAGAGAUAGGGAGAGAGGAGGAAAGAAGAAAAAAAAAUUAAUCACCGUGCCACACUCGACUAUCGAUUUUUGUCGAUUCUUUUGAAAAAUCUAAAAAAAAAAAAAGGAAAAAAAAAAGAUUCGUCGAAGAAAGACCGAAAGAUCGUUCGAUAAAUUUGAAUCGAAUUCCUUGCGAGAGAAAUACCAUGUCUGACGACCCUGAGAGGCCAAUCGUAAUUACGUCAUCGUAGCGACAGAUAUAGAAUCACUGUCACUUUCGGUAAAAUACAUAUAAACGCAGGUCAUAGUCCCUCAUCAUUUCUUUUUAUAUUUCGCUACACGCUCUGGCGCGUCUUUUUCUCUCUUUCUCUCUCUCGUUCUCUCUCUCAUACAUAGACGCACAGAGACUUAUACUCAAGACACCGCCUUGAAUAUAAUCCUUUACUCAAUGAUCAGUUUUUUUUCUCUCUCUCUCUCGUGGAACUCAAUUUUCUUUUGCAUUCUUGGAAAUUGUUAUUUUUUUUUUAUCGCGGAGGCUCGAUAUCUACGUCGAAAAAAGUCUGCAACGUACGUUGUAUAGUUGUAUAUAUAUAUAUAUAUUGAACGAUACGUGUGUAUGCAUAAUUAUUAAUAUCCAUCGAGCAAACUUCACGCGUUCCUUUCGAUUCAUUAAACUUACAUCAUUUUCUUAAAAAAAAAAAAAAAAUUUCGCAAGAUGAAAGAGAUUUAUUCUACAUUAUCAUACACGUUCAUUUGAUGUCUGUUAUUUUUUUCUACAUUUUCUACAAAGUAGUGAUCGUCGAUAAAUUGAAAUCGAAUCAUUGUUGCACGAAAGUGCUUCUUCCUCUUUCGCAUUCAUCUCUAUAAAGAGAGAGAGAGAGACAGACAGACAAACAGAGAGAGAGAGAGAGAGAGAGAGAGAGAAAGAGAGAGGAAAAUAACUCGCGGGGGAUCGUUGCUUGCCAAGUACAGUGUCGAAUAAAAUAUAUAUAUUUUUUAUAUAUAUAAGAUGAAGAGGACCGUCAUAAUCGUAUGUAUCUGGGUAUUUGGGUAGUCUCCGUUUGGUAACCUUGGUUAUAACCUCGUUUCGAGAGUAUGGAAUACGGUGCCGACCGUUGAACCACGAAUUACAAAUAGCAUUAAUCCGAGAUUUCGAUGUUACUCAGCUCCUCCUCCUCCUCCUCCUCCCUGCAAUUAUCUCCGCGAGAUCAAAAACCCACACUCGCGAAUCUUAUAUCGUUUCGUUCUAUCGCCGCUUCUCGCGAUGAUUUGAGAGAUUUGAAUCUAUACGUAGUAUUAUUUACAUAAUUCUACGCUUUCGAAAUCUAUUGCUUCGUUCGUUUUGCGCAACCUUAUUCCUAACCUAAUGCCAAUUUAAUCUUUCUUUCGUUGAAUUACCGAAAAAAAAUUGUAAUAUUUUUUUUUUAAGACGGAUAAAAGUACGGAUAAUAUAUCAAGAGAAAGCAGAAGAAAAAAAGAUGUAAUUUCUUCUUAAUAAAGAUCGUAUCGAUCGAGACUGACGUUUGUUGCAGAAGGGAGAGAGAAGAAGAGUGGGUUAAAAGAAGGAAGAAAAAGAAAGGGAACGAAAACAAUGGAGUGACACGAUAGUAACAUUUUUCUCUCUCUCUAAAGUUGGCAAUACGUUAUUCUGACGAUCAAAUUUGUCCAAUCAUUUACCUAACCUCUUCUUUUCCUUAACAAAAUUCCUCUUCUAAUAAAGAACAAAAAGUUGAACAUGAAACGUGUCAACUGAUACCGUAAUACGGAUGCACCGUAACUGGAUAUUCGGUAUAAUCUUUAAUCCCAUUAACAAUCGAAAAGACUAUGUGGAAAUCAAGCAAUAGCUGCGCCAGUAUUAACUCCAGCCAAUACUGCAGCGGGCAUGGGAUCGCAUGUCCGCCGAGAUCACCACCAUAUAUUUGCCUAGUUCCCGCUUUUCCCCCAGUAAGAGGAUGGCAAGCUUGUUGCAUACGUAAAUAUAAUUAUCCCUGUCCAGCUCACAAAAUAAAACCUCGGCCGUUAAUACGUCACACCGAUUUCGAUUUGCUAUCUCAAUACUAGAAGAAAUUAAACAUCGAUCGCUUUUUCUCCACGUGGUUCACGAAAUUUUCUCAACUGUAUAAAUGUUGUAUGAUAACUCGAUAUAUAACGCGUCAUAAACUAUUAUAUUUGUCUGUACAUUUUUUGGAUAUGAUUUUAUACAAAGUAUUUUUGUAUCUUCAAAAAGAAAAAAAAAAAAAAAGAAAGAAAAAUAAGUAAUAAAGAUAUUUAAAAAUG